GACGAACGCUGGCGGCGUGCUUAACACAUGCAAUUCGAACGGUAAGGCCCCAGCUUGCUGGGGUACACGAGUGGCGAACGGGUGAGUAACACGUGGGUGACCUGCCCUGCACUUCGGGAUAAGCCUGGGAAACUGGGUCUAAUACCGGAUAGGACCGCACCGUGAGGGUGUGGUGGAAAGUUUUUUCGGUGUGGGAUGGGCCCGCGGCCUAUCAGCUUGUUGGUGGGGUAAUGGCCUACCAAGGCGGCGACGGGUAGCCGGCCUGAGAGGGUGGACGGCCACAUUGGGACUGAGACACGGCCCAGACUCCUACGGGAGGCAGCAGUGGGGAAUAUUGCACAAUGGGCGGAAGCCUGAUGCAGCGACGCCGCGUGGGGGAUGACGGCCUUCGGGUUGUAAACUCCUUUCACCAUCGACGAAGGGUUUCUGACGGUAGAUGGAGAAGAAGCACCGGCUAACUACGUGCCAGCAGCCGCGGUAAUACGUAGGGUGCGAGCGUUGUCCGGAAUUACUGGGCGUAAAGAGCUCGUAGGUGGUUUGUCGCGUCGUCUGUGAAAUUCCGGGGCUUAACUCCGGGCGUGCAGGCGAUACGGGCAUAACUUGAGUACUGUAGGGGAGACUGGAAUUCCUGGUGUAGCGGUGAAAUGCGCAGAUAUCAGGAGGAACACCGGUGGCGAAGGCGGGUCUCUGGGCAGUAACUGACGCUGAGGAGCGAAAGCAUGGGGAGCGAACAGGAUUAGAUACCCUGGUAGUCCAUGCCGUAAACGGUGGGCGCUAGGUGUGGGUUUCCUUCCACGGGAUCCGUGCCGUAGCUAACGCAUUAAGCGCCCCGCCUGGGGAGUACGGCCGCAAGGCUAAAACUCAAAGGAAUUGACGGGGGCCCGCACAAGCGGCGGAGCAUGUGGAUUAAUUCGAUGCAACGCGAAGAACCUUACCUGGGCUUGACAUAUACAGGAUCGCGCCAGAGAUGGUGUUUCCCUUGUGGCUUGUAUACAGGUGGUGCAUGGUUGUCGUCAGCUCGUGUCGUGAGAUGUUGGGUUAAGUCCCGCAACGAGCGCAACCCUUGUCUUAUGUUGCCAGCACGUUGUGGUGGGGACUCGUAAGAAACUGCCGGGGUUAACUCGGAGGAAGGUGGGGAUGACGUCAAAUCAUCAUGCCCCUUAUGUCCAGGGCUUCACACAUGCUACAAUGGUCGGUACAGUGGGUUGCCAGUCCGUGAGGGCGAGCUAAUCCCGCAAAGCCGGUCUCAGUUCGGAUCGGGGUCUGCAACUCGACCCCGUGAAGUCGGAGUCGCUAGUAAUCGCAGAUCAGCAACGCUGCGGUGAAUACGUUCCCGGGCCU
Molecule: ribosomal RNA, 1341 nt
Filed under: uncultured bacterium
Lineage: Bacteria
Description: 16S ribosomal RNA
Rfam family: Bacterial small subunit ribosomal RNA
Source: RNAcentral